GGGCCCGCACAAGCGGUGGAGUAUGUGGUUUAAUUCGAUGCAACGCGAAGAACCUUACCAGGGUUUGACAUCCUGCGAAUCUCUUGGAAACAGGAGAGUGCCUUCGGGAACGCAGUGACAGGUGGUGCAUGGCUGUCGUCAGCUCGUGUCGUGAGAUGUUGGGUUAAGUCCCGCAACGAGCGCAACCCACGUCUUUAGUUGCCAGCAUUUAGUUGGGCACUCUAGAGAGACUGCCGGUGAUAAACCGGAGGAAGGUGUGGAUGACGUCAAGUCAUCAUGCCCCUUACAUCCUGGGCUACACACGUACUACAAUGCUACGGACAGAGGGCAGCAAGUUCGCGAGGACAAGCAAAUCCCAUAAACCGUGGCUCAGUUCAGAUCGUAGGCUGCAACUCGCCUACGUG
Molecule: ribosomal RNA, 404 nt
Filed under: uncultured bacterium
Lineage: Bacteria
Description: bacterial SSU rRNA
Rfam family: Bacterial small subunit ribosomal RNA
Source: RNAcentral